UACGGAGGAUCCGAGCGUUAUCCGGAUUUAUUGGGUUUAAAGGGUGCGCAGGCGGGAGAUUAAGUCGGCGGUGAAAUUUUGCAGCUCAACUGUAAAAGUGCCUUCGAAACUGGUUUCCUUGAGUGUAGAUGAAGUAGGCGGAAUUUGUGGUGUAGCGGUGAAAUGCAUAGAUAUCACGAGGAACUCCGAUUGCGAAGGCAGCUUACUAAGCUACUACUGACGCUCAGGCACGAAGGCGUGGGGAUCGAACAGGAUUAGAUACCCGGGUAGU
RNAcentral lists this ribosomal RNA (271 nucleotides) under uncultured prokaryote. Its description in RNAcentral is "partial 16S ribosomal RNA". It matches the Rfam family "Bacterial small subunit ribosomal RNA", at positions 524 to 794 of the family's 1533-position model. The record is from RNAcentral.